RNAcentral lists this ribosomal RNA (497 nucleotides) under uncultured bacterium. RNAcentral's name for it is "partial 16S ribosomal RNA". It matches the Rfam family "Bacterial small subunit ribosomal RNA", at positions 28 to 507 of the family's 1533-position model. The record is from RNAcentral.
GAUGAACGCUGGCGGCGUGCCUAAUACAUGCAAGUCGAGCGAACAGACGAGUAGCUUGCUCCUCUGACGUUAGCGGCGGACGGGUGAGUAACACGUGGAUAACCUACCUAUAAGACUGGGAUAACUUCGGGAAACCGGAGCUAAUACCGGAUAAUAUAUUGAACCGCAUGGUUCAAUAGUUAAAGACGGUUUUGCUGUCACUUAUAGAUGUAUCCGCGCCGCAUUAGCUAGUUGGUAAGGUAACGGCUUACCAAGGCGACGAUGCGUAGCCGACCUGAGAGGGGGAAAGGACAAACUGGAACUGAGACACGGUCCAGACUCCUACGGGAGGCAGCAGUAGGGAAACUUCCGCAAUGGGAGAAAGCCAGACGUAGCAAAGCCGCGUGAGUGAUGAAGGUAUUCGGAUCGUAAAACUAUGUUAUUAGGGAAGAACAAAUGUGUAAGUAACUAUGCACGUCUUGACGGUACCUAAUCAGAAAGCCACGGCUAACUACGUG